CUCUGCCCCGGGUGCGUCGCAGCCCCGGACCAAGGCGCCCGCCGGAGGACCAACCAAAACUCUUUUUGUAUACCCCCUCGCGGGUUUUUUAUAAUCUGAGCCUUCUCGGCGCCUCUCGUAGGCGUUUCGAAAAUGAAUCAAAACUUUCAACAACGGAUCUCUUGGUUCUGGCAUC
RNAcentral lists this ribosomal RNA (175 nucleotides) under uncultured fungus. Its description in RNAcentral is "partial contains internal transcribed spacer 1 and 5.8S ribosomal RNA". The record is from RNAcentral. Lineage: Eukaryota; Fungi.